RNAcentral lists this ribosomal RNA (497 nucleotides) under uncultured bacterium. RNAcentral's name for it is "partial 16S ribosomal RNA". It matches the Rfam family "Bacterial small subunit ribosomal RNA", at positions 28 to 507 of the family's 1533-position model. The record is from RNAcentral.
GAUGAACGCUGGCGGCGUGCCUAAUACAUGCAAGUCGAGCGAACGGACGAGAAGCUUGCUUCUCUGAUGUUAGCGGCGGACGGGUGAGUAACACGUGGAUAACCUACCUAUAAGACUGGGAUAACUUCGGGAAACCGGAGCUAAUACCGGAUAAUAUUUUGAACCGCAUGGUUCAAAAGUGAAAGACGGUCUUGCUGUCUCUUAUAGAUGGAUCCGCGCUGCAUUAGCUAGUUGGUAAGGUAACGGCUUACCAAGGCAACGAUGCAUAGCCGACCUGAGAGGGUGAUCGGCCACACUGGAACUGGGACGCGGUCCAGACUCCUACGGGAGGCAGCAGUAGGGAAUCUUCCGCAAUGGGCGAAAGCCUGACGGAGCAACGCCGCGUGAGUGAUGAAGGUCUUCGGAGCGUAAAACUCUGUUAUUAGGGAAGAACAGAUGUGUAAGUAACUGUGCACAUCUUGACGGUACCUAAUAAGAAAGCCACGGCUAACUACGUG